UUCCAGACUCCUACGGGAGGCAGCAGUGAGGAAUAUUGGUCAAUGGGCUUACGCCUGAACCAGCCAAGUCGCGUGAGGGAAGACGGCCCUAUGGGUUGUAAACCUCUUUUGUCGGAGAACAAAACCCGGGACGUGUCCCGGACUGCGUGUAUCCGAAGAAAAAGCAUCGGCUAACUCCGUGCCAGCAGCCGCGGUAAUACGGAGGAUGCGAGCGUUAUCCGGAUUUAUUGGGUUUAAAGGGUGCGCAGGCGGAGGAUCAAGUCAGCGGUAAAAUUGAGAGGCUCAACCUCUUCGAGCCGUUGAAACUGGUUUUCUUGAGUGAGUGAGAAGUAUGCGGAAUGCGUGGUGUAGCGGUGAAAUGCAUAGGUAUCACGCAGAACUCCGAUUGCGAAGGCAGCAUACCGGCGCUCAACUGACGCUCAUGCACGAAAGUGUGGGUAUCGAAUAGGAUUAGAUACCCCCGUA
This 465-nucleotide ribosomal RNA is filed under the name uncultured bacterium. Its description in RNAcentral is "bacterial SSU rRNA". It matches the Rfam family "Bacterial small subunit ribosomal RNA", at positions 329 to 792 of the family's 1533-position model. The record is from RNAcentral.